Molecule: long non-coding RNA, 304 nt
Organism: Cygnus olor (mute swan)
Lineage: Eukaryota; Metazoa; Chordata; Aves; Anseriformes; Anatidae
Exons: 3
Source: RefSeq, a predicted model, not a curated record
UUAAAACAACAGCAAGGUUGAUAUGGAGAUUUGCACUGUACUGAUCUUUUCCUUCCUUGUCUGCUGGACCACGUUUUCAAGUGGAGGUAUUUCCUUAUAAUAAGAACUCUGAACAUAUGGAGCAUAUGGUGUCACUACACAGGGAAGCAUUUCCCAAAUUGCUGUGCUGUUUAGGAUGGCUGCACUACACUCAUCUAGAGGCAGCCAUAGUGUGAAGCAGCUGGUCAGCAAUAACAGCUUAUCUUCAUAAAUAAGCCAUCACCACUGAUGAAGAGGUGCUCCUACAUCCUCACAGCUGAUGGAU